UACACCUACGGGGGGCUGCAGUAGGGAAUCUUCCACAAUGGGCGAAAGCCUGAUGGAGCAACGCCGCGUGAGUGAUGAAGGCUUUCGGGUCGUAAAGCUCUGUUGUAAGGGAAGAACAGCUAGAAUAGGGAAUGAUUUUAGUUUGACGGUACCAUACCAGAAAGGGACGGCUAACUACGUGCCAGCAGCCGCGGUAAUACGUAGGUCCCGAGCGUUGUCCGGAUUUAUUGGGCGUAAAGCGAGCGCAGACGGUUGAUUAAGUCUGAUGUGAAAGCCCGGAGCUCAACUCCGGAAUGGCAUUGGAAACUGGUUAACUUGAGUGCAGUAGAGGUAAGUGGAACUCCAUGUGUAGCGGUGGAAUGCGUAGAUAUAUGGAAGAACACCAGUGGCGAAGGCGGCUUACUGGACUGUAACUGACGUUGAGGCUCGAAAGUGUGGGUAGCAAACAGGAUUAGAUACCCUAGUAGUCC
This 470-nucleotide ribosomal RNA is filed under the name Escherichia coli. Its description in RNAcentral is "bacterial SSU rRNA". It matches the Rfam family "Bacterial small subunit ribosomal RNA", at positions 334 to 796 of the family's 1533-position model. Lineage: Bacteria; Pseudomonadati; Pseudomonadota; Gammaproteobacteria; Enterobacterales; Enterobacteriaceae. The record is from RNAcentral.